UGAUUUGAAGAGCUUGCUCAGAUAUGACGAUGGACAUUGCAAAGAGUGGCGAACGGGUGAGUAACACGUGGGAAACCUACCUCUUAGCAGGGGAUAACAUUUGGAAACAGAUGCUAAUACCGUAUAACAAUAGCAACCGCAUGGUUGCUACUUAAAAGAUGGUUCUGCUAUCACUAAGAGAUGGUCCCGCGGUGCAUUAGUUAGUUGGUGAGGUAAUGGCUCACCAAGACGAUGAUGCAUAGCCGAGUUGAGAGACUGAUCGGCCACAAUGGGACUGAGACACGGCCCAUACUCCUACGGGAGGCAGCAGUAGGGAAUCUUCCACAAUGGGCGAAAGCCUGAUGGAGCAACGCCGCGUGUGUGAUGAAGGGUUUCGGCUCGUAAAACACUGUUGUAAGAGAAGAAUGACAUUGAGAGUAACUGUUCAAUGUGUGACGGUAUCUUACCAGAAAGGAACGGCUAAAUACGUGCCAGCAGCCGCGGUAAUACGUAUGUUCCAAGCGUUAUCCGGAUUUAUUGGGCGUAAAGCGAGCGCAGACGGUUAUUUAAGUCUGA
This 555-nucleotide ribosomal RNA is filed under the name Weissella cibaria. RNAcentral describes it as "bacterial SSU rRNA". It matches the Rfam family "Bacterial small subunit ribosomal RNA", at positions 70 to 592 of the family's 1533-position model. The record is from RNAcentral. Lineage: Bacteria; Bacillati; Bacillota; Bacilli; Lactobacillales; Lactobacillaceae.